Mycena latifolia is the source of this 92-nucleotide non-coding RNA. The record is from the annotation of a GenBank genome assembly. NCBI's taxonomy places the organism in Eukaryota, Fungi, Basidiomycota, Agaricomycetes, Agaricales, Mycenaceae.
GACCCAGUGGCGAAGUGGUAUCGCGUCCGCUUAUCAUAGGCGGUUUCAGCGAAUUUCCGCGGUAGACACCCGUUCGAUUUGGGUCUGGGUCC